This is a non-coding RNA of Faecalibacterium prausnitzii SL3/3, 51 nucleotides long. Lineage: Bacteria; Bacillati; Bacillota; Clostridia; Eubacteriales; Oscillospiraceae. The record is from Rfam.
CCGGACACCUUAGCAGGGCCGCACCGUAAAGCGACCCCGCCCCACUACCCC